RNAcentral lists this ribosomal RNA (405 nucleotides) under uncultured bacterium. Its description in RNAcentral is "partial 16S ribosomal RNA". It matches the Rfam family "Bacterial small subunit ribosomal RNA", at positions 28 to 526 of the family's 1533-position model. The record is from RNAcentral.
GACGAACGCUGGCGGCGUGCUUAACACAUGCAAGUCGAGCGGAGCGGCGAACGGGUGAGUAACGCGUGAGUAACUGCCCCCCUCUCUGGGAUAACAGUUGGAAACGGCUGCUAAUACCGGAUAGUGGGGGAUGACUCGCGUCCUAUCAGCUGGUUGGUGGGGUAGUGGCCUACAAAGGCGACGACGGGUAGCCGGCCUGAUAGGGGCACCGGCCACAGUGGGUGGAGAUACGGCACAAACUCCUACGGGAGGCAGCGGUGGGGAAUAUUGCAGAAUGGGGGAAGCCCUGAUGCAGCAACGCCGCGUGCAGGAUGACGGCCGUCGGGUUGUAAACCGCUUUCAGCCAUGACGCGGUAGUGGCAGAAGAAGCACCGGCUAACUACGUGCCAGCCGCCGCGGUAAUAC